This 102-nucleotide Y RNA is filed under the name Propithecus coquereli (Coquerel's sifaka). RNAcentral describes it as "Y RNA (ENSPCOG00000008919.1)". It matches the Rfam family "Y RNA". Rfam says of the family: Y RNAs are components of the Ro ribonucleoprotein particle (Ro RNP), in association with Ro60 and La proteins. The Y RNAs and Ro60 and La proteins are well conserved, but the function of the Ro RNP is not known. In humans the RNA component can be one of four small RNAs -- hY1, hY3, hY4 and hY5. Lineage: Eukaryota; Metazoa; Chordata; Mammalia; Primates; Indriidae. The record is from Rfam by way of RNAcentral.
GCUUAUUCCAGUGCAGUGAGUGUUAACAACUAAUUGAUCAGAACCAUUUACAGAUUACUUUGUUACUUCUCCACUCCCACCACUUCACUUGACUAAACUUAA